Zonotrichia leucophrys gambelii is the source of this 697-nucleotide long non-coding RNA. RefSeq lists it as uncharacterized. Lineage: Eukaryota; Metazoa; Chordata; Aves; Passeriformes; Passerellidae. The record is from RefSeq and is a predicted model, not a curated record. The transcript is spliced from 3 exons.
GCUGGGAAAGGUGACUUUUGUGACUUUUUGUGAAAGGUGACAUUUUUUGACUUUUACAGGGAGGAAGUUGCACAAGAGGCCCCAGGCAAGGCUGAAGGGAAGGAUUUGGAGCCACGACCCCAAAAUCAACAGCUCUUUCCACAUCCAGUGUUGGUGGAUGCUGCAACCAGCAAUCAAACUAUUAACCCACAGUUUUGAGGUUGGAAUGAGUCAAAUCAGGCCCAGUUUAUCAGCAGGAAGAUUAUAGCGAAUAAUAAAAACUCUGAAAAUUAACCUUGCAAAGCAUUCCUGCUGGAAGCUCCUCCUGCAGGAUGAGGCUGUGCCAAGGCCGGCGGUGGGGAUUGCUCCCAGGGGAGCCAUCGGCUGCAGGGCUGGAGCUCCACAAUCUCCCCUUGCCCUGCAAUGGUGUCCACAUGUGUGCAACGUGCAGGGAAAACACUGAUGGAUUUAUGGAGGAGAAGGAAUAUUGUGCAAUUGUUUAUGGUGUUACAAUGUUUUUCACUUUUUUGUAAUAUUCCUGACCAGUGCUGCUCGCUGGAAUGAAAGCUGUGCCUUGGCUUCUGCCCACCCUCGCCUUCCUGACAUUUACAUAUUUGCAAUAAUUAUUCCUAAAUACUACAACAGGUACUGUAGAAAACCCUUUCUGUUUCUCUCUGUUGUUUAAAAGCCAUAAAUUUUUUUUAAUAUAAAGGAAGCC